CCUACGGGAGGCAGCAGUGGGGAAUAUUGCACAAUGGGGGAAACCCUGAUGCAGCGACGCCGCGUGAAGGAUGAAGUAUUUCGGUAUGUAAACUUCUAUCAGCAGGGAAGAAAAUGACGGUACCUGACUAAGAAGCCCCGGCUAACUACGUGCCAGCAGCCGCGGUAAUACGUAGGGGGCAAGCGUUAUCCGGAUUUACUGGGUGUAAAGGGAGCGUAGACGGCAUGGCAAGUCUGAUGUGAAAACCCGGGGCUCAACCCCGGGACUGCAUUGGAAACUGUCAGGCUAGAGUGUCGGAGAGGCAAGUGGAAUUCCUAGUGUAGCGGUGAAAUGCGUAGAUAUUAGGAGGAACACCAGUGGCGAAGGCGGCUUGCUGGACGAUGACUGACGUUGAGGCUCGAAAGCGUGGGGAGCAAACAGGAUUAGAUACCCGAGUAG
This 438-nucleotide ribosomal RNA is filed under the name uncultured bacterium. RNAcentral describes it as "bacterial SSU rRNA". It matches the Rfam family "Bacterial small subunit ribosomal RNA", at positions 338 to 793 of the family's 1533-position model. The record is from RNAcentral.